GACGAACGCUGGCGGCGUGCUUAACACAUGCAAGUCGAACGGAAAGGCCCUGCUUUUGUGGGGUGCUCGAGUGGCGAACGGGUGAGUAACACGUGAGUAACCUGCCCUUGACUUUGGGAUAACUUCAGGAAACUGGGGCUAAUACCGGAUAGGAGCUCCUGCUGCAUGGUGGGGGUUGGAAAGUUUCGGCGGUUGGGGAUGGACUCGCGGCUUAUCAGCUUGUUGGUGGGGUAGUGGCUUACCAAGGCUUUGACGGGUAGCCGGCCUGAGAGGGUGACCGGCCACAUGGGGACUGAGAUACGGCCCAGACUCCUACGGGAGGCAGCAGUGGGGAAUAGUGCACAAUGGGCGGAAGCCUGAUGCAGCAACGCCGCGUGCGGGAUGACGGCCUUCGGGGUGUAAACCGCUUUCGCCUGUGACGAAGCGUGAGUGACGGUAAUGGGUAAAGAAGCACCGGCUAACUACG
Molecule: ribosomal RNA, 466 nt
Filed under: uncultured bacterium
Lineage: Bacteria
Description: partial 16S ribosomal RNA
Rfam family: Bacterial small subunit ribosomal RNA
Source: RNAcentral